UGAGGAAUAUUGGUCAAUGGGGGCAACCCUGAACCAGCCAAGUCGCGUGAAGGAUGAAGGUCUUAUGGAUUGUAAACUUCUUUUACACGGGAAUAAAGCGGGGGACGUGUCCCUCUUUGCAUGUACCGUGUGAAUAAGGAUCGGCUAACUCCGUGCCAGCAGCCGCGGUAAUACGGAGGAUCCGAGCGUUAUCCGGAUUUAUUGGGGUUAAAGGGUGCGCAGGCGGGAUGUUAAGUCGGCGGUGAAAUUGUGCAGCUCAACUGUAAAAGUGCCUUCGAUACUGGCCUUCUUGAGUGUGGAUGAAGUAGGCGGAAUUUGUGGUGUAGCGGUGAAAUGCUUAGAUAUCACGAGGAACUCCGAUUGCGCAGGCAGCUUACUAGGCCACAACUGACGCUCAUGCACGAAGGCGUGGGGAUCAAACA
RNAcentral lists this ribosomal RNA (422 nucleotides) under uncultured bacterium. RNAcentral's name for it is "bacterial SSU rRNA". It matches the Rfam family "Bacterial small subunit ribosomal RNA", at positions 355 to 774 of the family's 1533-position model. The record is from RNAcentral.